This 270-nucleotide unclassified non-coding RNA is filed under the name air metagenome. RNAcentral describes it as "partial contains small subunit ribosomal RNA, internal transcribed spacer 1, and 5.8S ribosomal RNA". The stretch from base 1 to 46 matches the Rfam family "Eukaryotic small subunit ribosomal RNA", at positions 1786 to 1831 of the family's 1831-position model. The record is from RNAcentral.
AAGUCGUAACAAGGUCUCCGUUGGUGAACCAGCGGAGGGAUCAUUAUAGAGUUUUCUAAACUCCCAACCCAUGUGAACUUACCAUUGUUGCCUCGGCAGAAGCUGCUCGGUACACCCUACCUUGGAACGGCCUACCCUGUAGCGCCUUACCCUGGAACGGCUUACCCUGUAGCGGCUGCCGGUGGACUACCAAACUCUUGUUAUUUUAUUGUAAUCUGAGCGUCUUAUUUUAAUAAGUCAAAACUUUCAACAACGGAUCUCUUGGUUCUG